ACUUAAAGGAAUUGGCGGGGGGAGCACUACAACGGGGUGGAGCCUGCGGUUUAAUUGGAUUCAACGCCGGAAAUCUUACCGGGGGAGACAGCAGCAUGAAGGUCAGGCUGAAGACCUUACCAGAUCCGCUGAGAGGAAGUGCAUGGCCGUCGUCAGUUCGUACUGUGAAGCAUCCUGUUAAGUCAGGCAACGAGCGAGACCCGUGCCCACAGUUGCCAGCAUACCCUUCGGGGUGAUGGGUACUUUGUGGGGACCGCCGCUGCUAAAGCGGAGGAAGGAGCGGGUUACGGUAGGUCAGUAUGCUCCGGAACUCCCGGGCUACACGCGGGCUACAAUGGUUGGGACAAUGGGAAUCAACACCGAAAGGUGAAGGCAAUCUCCUAAACCCAUUCGAAGUUCGGAUUGAGGGCUGCAACUCGCCCUCAUGAAGCUGGAAUCCGUAGUAAUCGCGUUUCAACACAGCGCGGUGAAUACGUCCCUGCUCCUUGCACACACCGCCCGUAAUCACUAGUG
This 513-nucleotide ribosomal RNA is filed under the name uncultured archaeon. Its description in RNAcentral is "bacterial SSU rRNA". It matches the Rfam family "Archaeal small subunit ribosomal RNA", at positions 854 to 1364 of the family's 1478-position model. The record is from RNAcentral.